GCAGUAGCCGCGGUAAAACAGAGGGUGCGAGCGUUAAUCGGAUUUACUGGGCGUAAAGCGUGCGUAGGCGGCUUCUUAAGUCGGAUGUGAAAUCCCUGAGCUUAACUUAGGAAUUGCAUUCGAUACUGGGAAGCUAGAGUAUGGGAGAGGAUGGUAGAAUUCCAGGUGUAGCGGUGAAAUGCGUAGAGAUCUGGAGGAAUACCGAUGGCGAUGGCAGCCAUCUGGCCUAAUACUGACGCUGAGGUACGAAAGCAUGGGGAGCAAACAGGAUUAGAUACCCGCGUAGUCCCUGUCUCUUAUAC
This 302-nucleotide ribosomal RNA is filed under the name uncultured bacterium. Its description in RNAcentral is "partial 16S ribosomal RNA". It matches the Rfam family "Bacterial small subunit ribosomal RNA", at positions 508 to 807 of the family's 1533-position model. The record is from RNAcentral.